This 1034-nucleotide ribosomal RNA is filed under the name uncultured bacterium. RNAcentral describes it as "bacterial SSU rRNA". It matches the Rfam family "Bacterial small subunit ribosomal RNA", at positions 8 to 1083 of the family's 1533-position model. The record is from RNAcentral.
AGAGUUUGAUCCUGGCUCAGAGCGAACGCUGGCGGCAGGCUUAACACAUGCAAGUCGAGCGGGCGUAGCAAUACGUCAGCGGCAGACGGGUGAGUAACGCGUGGGAACGUACCUUUUGGUUCGGAACAACACAGGGAAACUUGUGCUAAUACCGGAUAAGCCCUUACGGGGAAAGAUUUAUCGCCGAAAGAUCGGCCCGCGUCUGAUUAGCUAGUUGGUGAGGUAAUGGCUCACCAAGGCGACGAUCAGUAGCUGGUCUGAGAGGAUGAUCAGCCACAUUGGGACUGAGACACGGCCCAAACUCCUACGGGAGGCAGCAGUGGGGAAUAUUGGACAAUGGGGGCAACCCUGAUCCAGCCAUGCCGCGUGAGUGAUGAAGGCCCUAGGGUUGUAAAGCUCUUUUGUGCGGGAAGAUAAUGACGGCACCGCAAGAAUAAGCCCCGGCUAACUUCGUGCCAGCAGCCGCGGUAAUACGAAGGGGGCUAGCGUUGCUCGGAAUCACUGGGCGUAAAGGGUGCGUAGGCGGGUUUUUAAGUCAGGGGUGAAAUCCUGGAGCUCAACUCCAGAACUGCCUUUGAUACUGAAGAUCUUGAGUCCGGGAGAGGUGAGUGGAACUGCGAGUGUAGAGGUGAAAUUCGUAGAUAUUCGCAAGAACACCAGUGGCGAAGGCGGCUCACUGGCCCGGUACUGACGCUGAGGCACGAAAGCGUGGGGAGCAAACAGGAUUAGAUACCCUGGUAGUCCACGCCGUAAACGAUGAAUGCCAGCCGUUAGUGGGUUUACUCACUAGUGGCGCAGCUAACGCUUUAAGCAUUCCGCCUGGGGAGUACGGUCGCAAGAUUAAAACUCAAGAAAUUGACGGGGGCCCGCACAAGCGGUGGAGCAUGUGGUUUAAUUCGACGCAACGCGCAGAACCUUACCAGCCCUUGACAUCCCGGUCGCGGACUCCAGAGACGGAGUUCUUCAGUUCGGCUGGACCGGAGACAGGUGCUGCAUGGCUGUCGUCAGCCUCGUGUCGUGAGAUGUUGGGUUUA